RNAcentral lists this ribosomal RNA (402 nucleotides) under bacterium. RNAcentral's name for it is "partial 16S ribosomal RNA". It matches the Rfam family "Bacterial small subunit ribosomal RNA", at positions 355 to 776 of the family's 1533-position model. The record is from RNAcentral.
UGGGGAAUUUUGCACAAUGGGGGAAACCCUGAUGCAGCGACGCCGCGUGAUUUAGAAGGCCUUCGGGUUGUAAAAAUCUUUUUUACGGGAUGAAAAUGACAGUACCGUAAGAAUAAGGUCCGGCUAAAUACGUGCCAGCAGCCGCGGUAAUACGUAUGGACCGAGCGUUGUCCGGAAUCAUUGGGCGUAAAGGGUACGUAGGCGGCCUAGUAAGUUAGAAGUGAAAUAAUAUAGCUCAACUAUAUAAAGCUUUUAAAACUGCUAGGCUUGAGAGAUGGAAGGGAAAGUGGAAUUCCUCGUGUAGCGGUGAAAUGCGCAGAUAUUAGGAAGAAUACCGGUGGCGAAGGCGACUUUCUGGUCAUCAUCUGACGCUGAGGUACGAAAGCGUGGGUAGCAAACAGG